AGGAUUAACGCUGGCGGCGUGCCUAACACAUGCAAGUCGAACGAGGUAGCAAUACCUAGUGGCAGACGGGUGAGUAACGCGUGGUCAACCUACCGUUGAGUGGGGGAUAACUAGCCGAAAGGUUAGCUAAUACCGCAUACGAGUCUCGGGGGCACCCCUGGGCCUUAAAAGGAGCAAUCCGCUCGAUGACGGGACCGCGUCCCAUUAGCUAGAUGGUGGGGUAACGGCCUACCAUGGCACCGAUGGGUAGCUGGUUUGAGAGAGCGACCAGCCACACUGGGACUGAGAAACGGCCCAGACUCCUACGGGAGGCAGCAGUGAGGAAUUUUCCGCAAUGGGCGAAAGCCUGACGGAGCGACGCCGCGUGUGGGAAGAAGGCCUUCGGGUCGUAAACCACUGUCGAAGGGGACGAGUAAUGACGGUACCCUUGGAGGAAGCCCCGGCUAACUACGUGCCAGCAGCCGC
This 465-nucleotide ribosomal RNA is filed under the name uncultured bacterium. RNAcentral's name for it is "SSU rRNA". It matches the Rfam family "Bacterial small subunit ribosomal RNA", at positions 26 to 518 of the family's 1533-position model. The record is from RNAcentral.